UAGCCGCGGUAAUACCAGCUCUCCGAGUGGUAGGGACGAUUAUUGGGCCUAAAGCGUCCGUAGCCGGCCAAGCAAGUUUCCCGUUAAAUCCAGCGAUCCAAUCGUUGGACUGCGGGAAAUACUGUUUGGCGUAGGGGGCGAGAGAGGCCAACGGUACUCGUCGGGGUAGGGGUAGAAAUCCUAUAACGUCCCGGGAAGACCCACCAGUGGCGAAGGC
RNAcentral lists this ribosomal RNA (217 nucleotides) under uncultured archaeon. RNAcentral describes it as "partial 16S ribosomal RNA". It matches the Rfam family "Archaeal small subunit ribosomal RNA", at positions 462 to 673 of the family's 1478-position model. The record is from RNAcentral.